Molecule: ribosomal RNA, 245 nt
Filed under: uncultured Lachnospiraceae bacterium
Lineage: Bacteria; Bacillati; Bacillota; Clostridia; Lachnospirales; Lachnospiraceae
Description: partial 16S ribosomal RNA
Rfam family: Bacterial small subunit ribosomal RNA
Source: RNAcentral
UACGUAGGGGGCAAGCGUUAUCCGGAUUUACUGGGUGUAAAGGGAGCGCAGACGGAAAGCCAAGUCUGAUGUGAAAUGUCCGGGCUCAACCCGGGAACUGCAUUGGAAACUGGUUAUCUAGAGUGCAGGAGAGGUAAGUGGAAUUCCUAGUGUAGCGGUGAAAUGCGUAGAUAUUAGGAGGAACACCGGUGGCGAAGGCGGCUUACUGGACUGUAACUGACGUUGAGGCUCGAAAGCGUGGGGAG